Molecule: non-coding RNA, 82 nt
Organism: Trametes cingulata
Lineage: Eukaryota; Fungi; Basidiomycota; Agaricomycetes; Polyporales; Polyporaceae
Source: the annotation of a GenBank genome assembly
GGCCGACUGGCCUAAUGGUUAAGGCGUCAGUUUCCGGUGUGGAAUCAGCUGAAGAUUCUGGGUUCGACUCCCAGGUUGGUCG